This 362-nucleotide ribosomal RNA is filed under the name Panthera tigris altaica (Amur tiger). RNAcentral describes it as "partial 16S ribosomal RNA". It matches the Rfam family "Bacterial large subunit ribosomal RNA", at positions 1978 to 2514 of the family's 2925-position model. Lineage: Eukaryota; Metazoa; Chordata; Mammalia; Carnivora; Felidae. The record is from RNAcentral.
AAAUAGGGACUUGUAUGAAUGGCCACACGAGGGCUUUACUGUCUCUUACUUCCAAUCCGUGAAAUUGACCUUCCCGUGAAGAGGCGGGAAUAUGACAAUAAGACGAGAAGACCCUAUGGAGCUUUAAUUAACCGACCCAAAGAGACCUUGAUAAUCAACCGACAGGGAUAACAAACCUCUACCAUGGGUCGACAAUUUAGGUUGGGGUGACCUCGGAGAAUAAAACAACCUCCGAGUGAUUUAAAUCUAGACUAACCAGUCGAAAGUAUUACAUCACUUAUUGAUCCAAAAACUUGAUCAACGGAACAAGUUACCCUAGGGAUAACAGCGCAAUCCUAUUUCAGAGUCCAUAUCGACAAUAG